This 490-nucleotide ribosomal RNA is filed under the name uncultured bacterium. RNAcentral describes it as "partial 16S ribosomal RNA". It matches the Rfam family "Bacterial small subunit ribosomal RNA", at positions 30 to 507 of the family's 1533-position model. The record is from RNAcentral.
AUUGAACGCUGGCGGCAGGCCUAACGCAUGCAAGUCGAACGGUAACAGGAAGAAGCUUGCUUCUUUGCUGACGAGUGGCGGACGGGUGAGUAAUGUCUGGGAAACUGCCUGAUGGAGGGGGAUAACUACUGGAAACGGUAGCUAAUACCGCAUAACGUCGCAAGACCAAAGAGGGGGACCUUCGGGCCUCUUGCCAUCGGAUGUGCCCAGAUGGGAUUAGCUAGUAGGUGGGGUAACGGCUCACCUAGGCGACGAUCCCUAGCUGGUCUGAGAGGAUGACCAGCCACACUGGAACUGAGACACGGUCCAGACUCCUACGGGAGGCAGCAGUGGGGAAUAUUGCACAAUGGGCGCAAGCCUGAUGCAGCCAUGCCGCGUGUAUGAAGAAGGCCUUCGGGUUGUAAAGUACUUUCAGCGGGGAGGAAGGGAGUAAAGUUAAUACCUUGGCUCAUUGACGUUACCCGCAGAAGAAGCACCGGCUAACUCCGUG